GAUGAACGCUAGCUACAGGCUUAACACAUGCAAGUCGAGGGGCAGCAGGGCGUAGCAAUACGCCGCUGGCGACCGGCGCACGGGUGAGUAACACGUAUCCAACCUGCCCUCAACUCAGGGAUAGCCUUUCGAAAGAAAGAUUAAUACCUGAUGGCAUGGCGGCCCCGCAUGAGCCCUCCAUUAAAGAAAUUAGGUUGAGGAUGGGGAUGCGCUCCAUUAGCUUGUUGGCGGGGUAACGGCUCACCAAGGGUUCGAUGGAUAGGGGUUCUGAGAGGAAAGUCCCCCACGUUGGGACUGGGACACGGGCCAAACUCCUACGGGAGGCGGCAGUGGGGAACAUUGGUCAAUGGACGUGGGUCUGAACCAGCCAAGUGGCGUGAAGGAUGAUGGCCCUACGGGUUGUAAACUUCUUUUAUAUGGAUAUAAAGUGGGCCUCGUGUGGCUUGUUGUAUGUGCCAUACGAAUAAGGAGCGGCUAAUUCCGUGCCAGCAGCAGCCGCCG
Molecule: ribosomal RNA, 501 nt
Filed under: uncultured bacterium
Lineage: Bacteria
Description: partial 16S ribosomal RNA
Rfam family: Bacterial small subunit ribosomal RNA
Source: RNAcentral